CAGGACACCUGGCCUGGGGACCGCGCUGGCUGUGCACACCUAAGACCCGCGCAGUACAGAAUCCUGUUCAUAAAUCAAUAAGAUCAAAGGUGCAAAGAAAAGGGCCCUUGGGAAAACCAGAAAUAAACUUGAGAUCACAGGAUCACAGCCCCGGAGGGCCUGGCCGCGGACCUGGGCUCCCUCCCACACCCUGCCUGGUGGCUGCAGGGUUCUCCUGAGGCUGAGCCACCUUCUCUGAGCAGGCCCCUCCUCAGGCACUGCCCCAGACUGGCUUGUGUCCCCGGUUCCCGUCGAAGCCUGUGCCCUGUGUGCUGGCACAGCCGUGGGCACCCCAGGAGGAGGGCGCCCCAGGAGGAGGGCCCUCCUGGGAGCCGCUGCAGCACGGUGGCCGGCUGGGCAGCUGUGGGUGCCAGCCUGGUCCAGGGCUGUGGUGUCCUUCCAGUGCCACUUGGCUCAGCACAGUGUGACAGGCAGAGGUCACGAUGGCACAGGCUCAGGUCCAGAAGUGGCAGGUGGAACUGGACUCCAGCCAUCCUGAUUCCAACCCGGGCACUUUUGCCUGUUUGGGUCUUGAACCCAUCAGAGCCGAGCUCUCAAGGAAACAGCCACUGGCUGUGUGGAGAGAUUUAUCAAGCAAUCGGCUCUCGUGGUUAUGGAGGCCGCUGAGUGCAAACUGCAGUGUGGACUGGCAGCAGGAGACCAGGAGAGGGGACGGCACAGAUGUGCCGAGGCUGUUGGCUGGAGAACCCCCUUCUUGUUCCAGUCAAGCCUUCAGCUGAAUGGGUGAGGCCCACCGAUCUACUUACAAAGUGCACAGAUUUACAAAUUAACCGUACUCAAAAGCACCCUCCAAGUGGCACAUGAAUUGACCAUCACAGUGUGGAGGUAGGUUCUGGGGGUGCUGGGGGACUCCCCUGCUCUCUGUGUGGCAGCCCCACCUCUGAAGGCAUUUCUGGGUUUUAGCCCCACGAGGACUGAGCCCUGCCCUGCAGUCUGCUCCCUGCCCAAGCCCGCCUGCCUCACAGCCCUACCUCCUCUGCUCUUCCUCCCCUUGUCCCUCUCCUGUUGUGUUGAGAGCCACAACCAAGUCAGGAUGGCACCUGGCAUUUUGCCAGAAGGAGUGGUUGAGGGGUAGCGCCAGCGAGCCAUUGGGAUGAUGAUGGUUAAGUUAAGCUGUGUAUAAUUAUUGGGAUGAUGGCUGAUUGCUGUAACUGGAUGAUGCUGGAUUGGGG
Molecule: long non-coding RNA, 1232 nt
Filed under: Marmota monax (woodchuck)
Lineage: Eukaryota; Metazoa; Chordata; Mammalia; Rodentia; Sciuridae
Source: RNAcentral